Molecule: non-coding RNA, 397 nt
Organism: Pimephales promelas (fathead minnow)
Lineage: Eukaryota; Metazoa; Chordata; Actinopteri; Cypriniformes; Leuciscidae
Source: RefSeq, a predicted model, not a curated record
GUGAUAAAGAGUCGUACAAAAACCUCUGUCAGUCAGACGUCACAGUGACUGCACUGAUACAGCUGAGAGAAACUGCAGCUGCUGAUGGAGGAUCACACACUACACAAUAUCAAUGUCUAGCAAACUUUGUAAAGACUUUAAAGUUGAGCUACACCUGAGCAGCAGCCGCAUACUCGAGCUACAAUCGCUUUCCGGACCCACACCUGAGGGCACACAGAGCCUGAGAACGAGAGCCUGAGUCGAUGCACUGCCGUGCUGUCUGUCGUAGGAGCUUUUGCAGUCCACCCCGGGAAUCAGAAGCGCUCCGCCUUUGUAACUAAUCUGUCUGUGUUUCGUGAAGCUAUCCGGUACUUGUUGACCGACCUACUAAAUAAACAUACCCCUAUUUUUGACACGA